This 253-nucleotide ribosomal RNA is filed under the name uncultured bacterium. RNAcentral's name for it is "partial 16S ribosomal RNA". It matches the Rfam family "Bacterial small subunit ribosomal RNA", at positions 524 to 776 of the family's 1533-position model. The record is from RNAcentral.
UACGGGGGGGGCAAGCGUUGUUCGGAAUUACUGGGCGUAAAGGGCUCGUAGGUGGCCAACUAAGUCAGACGUGAAAUCCCUCGGCUUAACCGGGGAACUGCGUCUGAUACUGGAUGGCUUGAGUUUGGGAGAGGGACGCGGAAUUCCAGGUGUAGCGGUGAAAUGCGUAGAUAUCGGGAGGAACACCAGUGGCGAAGGCGACUACCUGGCCUGUUCUUGACGCUGAGGCGCGAAAGCUAGGGGAGCAAACGGG